RNAcentral lists this ribosomal RNA (510 nucleotides) under uncultured bacterium. RNAcentral describes it as "partial 16S ribosomal RNA". It matches the Rfam family "Bacterial small subunit ribosomal RNA", at positions 28 to 507 of the family's 1533-position model. The record is from RNAcentral.
GACGAACGCUGGCGGCGUGCUUAACACAUGCAAGUCGAACGAAGAGCGAUGGAAGCUUGCUUCUAUCAAUCUUAGUGGCGAACGGGUGAGUAACGCGUAAUCAACCUGCCCUUCAGAGGGGGACAACAGUUGGAAACGACUGCUAAUACCGCAUACGAUCUAACCUCGGCAUCGAGGAUAGAUGAAAGGUGGCCUCUACAUGUAAGCUAUCACUGAAGGAGGGGAUUGCGUCUGAUUAGCUAGUUGGAGGGGUAAGGGCCCACCAAGGCGAUGAUCAGUAGCCGGUCUGAGAGGAUGAACGGCCACAUUGGGACUGAGACACGGCCCAGACUCCUACGGGAGGCAGCAGUGGGGAAUCUUCCGCAAUGGACGAAAGUCUGACGGAGCAACGCCGCGUGAGUGAUGACGGCCUUCGGGUUGUAAAGCUCUGUUAAUCGGGACGAAAGGCCUUCUUGCGAAUAGUGAGAAGGAUUGACGGUACCGGAAUAGAAAGCCACGGCUAACUACGUG